GAAUGUGAGGACAAUCUGGUUGCAGUAUCUGUCAUCCCUGAUCACCAGAGUUGAUUUGGCUGAUCUGGGUGUCCCCAGCAUUCCUCAUUGCUCCAUAUGCUUCCCACCAGGUAUGCUCCAUAGAAGAGGAGGACCUUCCUCAAGUAGAGGAGGACAUGUCUUUGUUCAAAGAUAUACAAGUAGUUGGGCUCUCAUGCUAGAAUCUACAAAUAAGCUAUUAAAUUAAAAUUCUUAGAUUCCAAUGCAAGGCUACUACAUUUUAUUCUUAUCUUUCAAAUAAAUUUUAACAUUUUAUUU
RNAcentral lists this small nuclear RNA (297 nucleotides) under Jaculus jaculus (lesser Egyptian jerboa). Its description in RNAcentral is "7SK RNA (ENSJJAG00000000824.1)". It matches the Rfam family "7SK RNA". From Rfam's summary of the family: 7SK was discovered as an abundant small nuclear RNA in the mid-70s but a possible function has only recently been suggested. Two independent studies have found that 7SK RNA binds the CDK9/cyclin T complex (known as elongation factor P-TEFb). Lineage: Eukaryota; Metazoa; Chordata; Mammalia; Rodentia; Dipodidae. The record is from RNAcentral.